CACAACGGAAUAUAAGACGUCCUUAACCGUUUUUACCCUCUUCAGUGUCCUGUCGAUAUGCUGGUGUGCCCCUCAACGGUUCUGCCAGCCUGGAGACCACAAUUCGGGAAGAUGCAACAACGGUCCAGCUGAAGAAAAACCCGCAGUGUGUUCAGAGAUUAACCUGGGUUACUCCUCUUACCCCGUAACCCU
This is a long non-coding RNA of Oncorhynchus tshawytscha (Chinook salmon), 192 nucleotides long. RefSeq lists it as uncharacterized. The record is from RefSeq and is a predicted model, not a curated record. The transcript is spliced from 3 exons. Lineage: Eukaryota; Metazoa; Chordata; Actinopteri; Salmoniformes; Salmonidae.